This 87-nucleotide signal recognition particle RNA is filed under the name Blastochloris sp. RNAcentral's name for it is "signal recognition particle sRNA small type". It matches the Rfam family "Bacterial small signal recognition particle RNA". From Rfam's summary of the family: The signal recognition particle (SRP) is a universally conserved ribonucleoprotein involved in the co-translational targeting of proteins to membranes. Archaeal SRP consists of a 7S RNA and homologues of the eukaryotic SRP19 and SRP54 proteins. The record is from RNAcentral. Lineage: Bacteria; Pseudomonadati; Pseudomonadota; Alphaproteobacteria; Hyphomicrobiales; Blastochloridaceae.
AUUGAGGAACGGCAGAUACUCGCCGAACCCCGCCAGGGCGUAACUGCAGCAACGGUAAGUGAGUUCCUCUGGGUGUUCCUCGUGCCA